AUUUCUUCUUUCUUUCUAAAUUUUAAAUUAUGAAAUCCUUAAUUAAAUCAAUGAUUUAAUUUAUUCGGAGUCUUGCCGAACUUCUCGGGUAUAAUAAAUUCUUGGAUUAUCUUAAGUAUUUUGAAAUACUUUCUGUGACUGAUGAAAUUCUCAUCUAAUUAUUUACUGAGUACUAUUCAACACGGCUUAAUGAUUUCUCUUCUUCCGUGGCUUAGGAAAAAAUUCUCUACUUUAAAUCCUGAAUUUAUUUCGAGCGAUGGCCCAUCAAAUUUAAUUAAAAUGGUCCAACGAGUAUUAGAAACAAGGCCCAGAUUUACUGUAGUGGCCCAAAUCUCUAUAUCUCUUCUUCUCUCUUUUUUUUUCAUCACUGUAGGCCCAAGAGGAUUUUUCUAGCCCAAAAUUUAAACGAAGGGGUCUAAUUUGUUUUUUUAAAAAAACACUCUCCCUUCCCCCACAUCGGCUGUUCUAUCUCUUUUCUUCAUUUUCUCCCCAAAUUGAAAUGGGGAGCCCUGGAUUCCAAACCCCACCGCCACCUCAUGUUACCAUCUCCGUCGCCUCCGCCGCCGUUCACCAAUGCAUUCCUCUCUAUCUCUCUUCGUUAAUCUCUCCUUCACCGCCACCAUCUAUCCUUCAUCUUUCUCUUAUUCAUUCUAAUUAUCAAUUUUGGGGAGUCCUAAUUGAAAAGACGCGGCGGCUCCUACUGCUCUCACCGACGAAGUCGGCGCUGCCGCCUAUCCCUCGCAGCGCUGCCACCUCUGUUCUCACAGCAGGAAUCGCGGCUGCCCUUCGAGCUGUUGACGGUGGCAGCUCGCGCCAGCCAGUGAGCGUCGUCUUCGCCGCUGUUUUCCAUAACCUCCGUCGGGCUCGCCGCCGAGCAGCUCCUACCAGCGGCUGCUUGUCAUCGUAUAGGGUUCGGAUCAGCUGUUGUUCGAGAGCUUGGAAGCUGCUCGCCGCCGCCGGUUCGUCACCGGUCAGCCCCUCGAAUUAAGCUAAGUCCCCCUAUCUCCUUCUUGUCUAUUAAGCUUUUAGUUUCUGGGCUGUAGCUUUGUUCUUAAGAUGUUGGCUACUUGUUUUUUUUCGAGAGAUGGCUUAUGGUUUCAUAACUCAUUUUUGCACUUUAUUCACAUGCUAGCUACCGAUCUAAGGUCUCAUAUAUGGUGCUAAGAUUUCCAAGCUAUACAUGUGGGAUUUCUAAUGUGAUGCAGAGGAAAGUAUGUUGGUUACCUUGUUGUCUGUGGAAACUGCCAUUGCCUCUCCACUUCUUGCUUCUCCUCACUCUCAACUUACACUCUGUUUUUACUAGAGGUUUCAAAGUAUGAGGGAAAGGGGAAAGUUGUGGAAUGUGGGGUGGCUUUUAUAGGCAAGAACGCGUACUCGUGAAGCAUUAAUUUGGGAUGCUGUAUACUUUGUUUCUUCCCGCAGAACUCACUCUUUUUCUGGGCUAGUGCAGUCACUUUAACUGCAAGUGCACCACAAGGCUGUGCAGAGGCUGGUAUCUGGGGGUACAACUGCCGGAUGUAGCCUUGCAGGGAUCCUGCAGCUACUGGAUGGGUUCUGCCGGCUGGACUUGCCCUUUUCCAGCCCAUCUUUCUCUCAUUUUUCUAAAAGGGAUCGAGGCUGGCUACAGAUGACUCAUUAUCCAACGUUCCAGCCCAUCGAGCCUCUCCGAAACUGGGCCGAGACGGCUCGCGCUGAAGGCCGAGGAAAUUCUCUAGGAACUCUUGAUUGUAAUAGAGUAGCUCGAUUUAAGUUUCUCUCUUUUUCUUUACUCAACAUGUGUAGAGUCUAUUGAAAUUAAUGUGUUUCUGUUUUCCUUUGUUCUCUUUGAACAUUUGUAAGCUUAGACUUUAGCUCGAAAUGCUAAAAUGUUGUGUUGCUCAAGAAAUAAAUAAGUAUUAUUUCUUUCUCUUUA
This is a long non-coding RNA of Salvia splendens (bonfire salvia), 1912 nucleotides long. RefSeq lists it as uncharacterized. Lineage: Eukaryota; Viridiplantae; Streptophyta; Magnoliopsida; Lamiales; Lamiaceae. The record is from RefSeq and is a predicted model, not a curated record. The transcript has 2 exons.